Molecule: long non-coding RNA, 2867 nt
Organism: Tetranychus urticae (two-spotted spider mite)
Lineage: Eukaryota; Metazoa; Arthropoda; Arachnida; Trombidiformes; Tetranychidae
Source: RefSeq, a predicted model, not a curated record
UCAUUAUCAACAUCACUUAUCUUCCUCCUCUUCUCAUCAUCACUACUCUAUUUAAGAUGAUAGUUGAUCAUCACAAACCAUCGAUCAUUUCAAAUUAAGUUCAUUUCGUUUUUUUCUUCAUCUUCCUUUGCUCAGUUUCGCUCUCUAACCACAUUCAUCUUUAUCCUCCCUCUCUGGAUCAUCAUUAUCAACAUAAUCAUCAUCAUCAUCAUCUACUCUUCAUCAUUUUAAUCAUCAGUAUCUACAAUAACUUACACAUUGGAUACACUUUAAGUGAUCAGAAUCACAGAUUGAGAGACAUUUUACCAGCCAUUUGUACACCUUUUAAGCUACCCUGGAAAACAUCUUUUACCUUUGAGGAUUGGACAUUUCAAAAUGGGAAUCACGAAUUUACUCAACACUCUUGAUUCGUCCCCAUAACAGUUGCUUUAGCCAUUUUGGUUUUUACUUGAUCAUCUUCUUGAUCAUCGCCUUUCGUCUAAUCAAAAUGUAGGAUACAACUUGACCAGAUGAGAGGACAAAAGUGGAUCAAGUCAUUUUUCUUGACCAUUUCAUCUUUAACCAUUACCAUUGAUUAACCAUACAAUUCAUAUUUGGCAGGGAAAAUCAGUGACAAUUUCAAUUCUCUCAAAUUAUCACAUUUACUAAUAAGCCUUUUAUUUAGUUGAAUGUGGACAACUUUAAAUGACAAUUGUUGCCAAUUGUUUGCAAUUUGGUGUACAAAAUGAAUCACACAAAAUGAUUAUUUGAUCAACAUAAACAACACUUUACCCUCCUUCAUUCAAUAUUAUUUGACCAAAUUUAAGGCAUCUCAAGUCUUUGUUUGAACAUCAGAAAUGAUGAGACAAUUCAAUCAAAUCUCAAUUGAUUACAAAUAAUAUUUUAAGCAAAUAACAAUCAAACCUUUGAUUUACAAUCAAAAUGGCUCAUUUUGAUGACAACCUCUCACUAUAAACCUCCAUGAGAUACUUAUACCAUUAAUCUGAAAUUAAGUUGCUUUUAAAUUGUUGAAUAAAGAGAUUUUAUUAUUAAAAGAAUGUAUCAAUUUUUGUGUAAAAAUUUUGGUCAAGAAAAGGAUUCUAAGGAAAAUUUUGCCUGAAAGUCAUGAUUGAAAUACAAUGAACUAUUGACUUAAUAUUGAAGAAUCAAUCGGUUCGUAAUCAGUGAACAACCCCUUAAAUAAUUUGCGGGAAAAUGUUGUUUCUCACUUGGCUACUUUUUUAUAAACUGUGAUACAUUUUCCUAAUACAAUCUAUGCUAAUUUUAACCAUAAUAUUGUGUUUUUAAUCGUAUAAUACAAUCAACUGAACGGAAAUAAAUUUCAACCUUAACUGUGAUCAUAAAAAGUGUGAAUUUUUGGGCUCUUUAUUCAGCAAUUCAUUCAAUUCCAUUGGGCCAUCAUCUAGUAAUGUGUUUAUAAUUAAUAAAGGAGGAGACUUGAGGAUAUCCUGUUAUUAAUGAGGAUCACCAAACAGGCCCAAUUGUUGCUGUUUCCGGCUAAACCAAUAACUUUAUAUUAUUAUCAUCAUCAUUAUCAUGUUUACCGAUAUCUUCCAGAUAAUUACAAACAUUGCCAUUAUUUUUUACCUUUUCUUGUCUCAAUCUCUAAACCCAUGAAAAAAACGGAAAAAGCAACUUAUUCAUAAUGGUAUAACUGAUACCUAAAUUUUGGUUCUUCUAUUAAUGAAUAAUCAACGAUCCGUAAAAGCUCGCAAUUUAUUAUUAACUGUCAGGUGAUUUGCUUAUAAACAUUGGAUCACUUUGUUUGCUCUUUGGAUUAACGUGUUAUUGAAUUGUAAUAUUUUGUUUGUCUAAAAACAUUUUCGGUUCUAUUGGAUUUACCGCCGAGGUGAUGCUGUUAACGAAAUUAAGUGAUUGAUUAGAUUAAUUCAUGAUUGUGGCAAUAUUUUCCAGCUACACAUGAGGAGUGAGAUGAAAAAAUAUGAUCAGUCUUGUACCGAUAAUGUUUAAUCUGGUUCAACUUUGAAUAAUUGUAUUACAAGAGACUAAAGUUAGACUUGACAGUUAAUCAAUCAUAACUAGCAUCUUCACAAUUGUCUGUAAAUUGUCAUUGGAACAGAAAGUAUUUCAGACGCUAUUCAAUCUACUGAGGGAAAAUGUUUCCUUCAAUAUUAAGCGAGUCAACUCGGGAAAAAUCCUGUCCAAUUGAUUAACCUUUUAAUAUAUUCAAUUGCGGAUGGACUGGUUCUCUUUAACUGCAAAACAAGCUCAACUUAACAUUCUCGAUGAAAAGGUUGGUUCUUUCAGGGAAACGAUAAUUCUUUCUUCCAUUUAAUCAAUUCAGCGAUGAUUACGAUGACGAUAGCAAUGGUGUUUACAAUUAUCGUUUUUAUAAGAGUUUAAGGUCAAAACGAAAAAUGAACUUUCUUCUUUGGUCACGUCCAUUGUUACUGGCCAUCACUCAACAUUAUCAAGAAAAAAUCAAUGACAGAUACAAAUCAAUUUAAAUGAUCUUUAAUUUUGAAAAUAGCAAAUCUUCCAUUGUUGGUGCAAUUUAUUUUGGUAAUUUGGCGUGAAAAUUUUUACGUUUUUACAUUCGUUACACAAUUAAAUUAACAUAUUGUAAUUUUAAAGAUAGCGUAUUGAGUCUACAAAUCCAAUUGUUUAUUGUGGUUAUGAUUUGCGCUUAUUUUAACUCAUCUUUUUUCCAGCGUUGUUGGCUGUUGUUUCAUCUUAAUCACACUAACGAAUCGUGCUAAUCAUAAUUAGCAUCUUAUUCAUAUUGUGUAUUGUUUGGAUGUUGAGGUUAACCUAGAAUUGCUGAAGCACGAAUCCACCCCAAAAAAUGAACCUUUAAGAUGAAGAUCUUGAAGACUGUGAAAAAGUAAAGCAAGAUGCUAAAUCAA